This is a long non-coding RNA of Hylaeus anthracinus, 151 nucleotides long. RefSeq lists it as uncharacterized. NCBI's taxonomy places the organism in Eukaryota, Metazoa, Arthropoda, Insecta, Hymenoptera, Colletidae. The transcript has 3 exons. The record is from RefSeq and is a predicted model, not a curated record.
CGACAGCAGCCGCUCCUCAGUCCGGUCGGUGCACGAGUGUUUUCUUUGCCGUAUCACUUCUUCACUGAUCCGAGAGCAAAAUGGUUUUGCAGCAUCAUCCUUCAUAUGAGUAAGUCGCGAAUCCACGCCAACUUUCCACGAAAUGGUCUCA